RNAcentral lists this ribosomal RNA (253 nucleotides) under uncultured bacterium. RNAcentral describes it as "partial 16S ribosomal RNA". It matches the Rfam family "Bacterial small subunit ribosomal RNA", at positions 524 to 776 of the family's 1533-position model. The record is from RNAcentral.
UACGUAGGGUGCAAGCGUUAAUCGGAAUUACUGGGCGUAAAGCGUGCGCAGGCGGUUCGCUAAGACAGAUGUGAAAUCCCCGGGCUUAACCUGGGAACUGCAUUUGUGACUGCACAGCUGGAGUGCGGCAGAGGGGGAUGGAAUUCCGCGUGUAGCAGUGAAAUGCGUAGAUAUGCGGAGGAACACCGAUGGCGAAGGCAAUCCCCUGGGCCUGCACUGACGCUCAUGCACGAAAGCGUGGGGAGCAAACAGG